AUAAGAAGUGCUUUUUUUUAUAUGAAAAAAAUGAGAGGACACGUGUAGUGAUAAAACAGUGCAUGUCUUGCACCUAGUGUUUAUUUGAAUCCAUAUGUAAGUGGUUUAGUUAGCUCACGUAUGAGUAUGGUCAAUUAUAUAUGUACACAUGAAAGCAUUAAAAAAAAAGGAAGAGAAGAGGGGGGAGAGAAAAAGAUUAAAGAAAAACGUAGAGGAAACUUCAGUUGAUGAGAUGAGAAAAUAAUGAAAAAAGGAAAUUGAGAGGUAAGGAAAAGCUCAUCAGAACUCGUGUAUAUAGGCUAUAUCUACGAGCAAGUCAAGGUCGGAGUAUGGAAACUCGAGUUAAGGAAAUUAAACAAACGAGGUUGAGCAGUGACGGUGGAGAAUGCUGAAGAGUUAUGAUUUUCCUUUUAUUUUAAGUAGAGGCUCUUGGCGGUGCAUGUCUCCAUACAUGUGACCGUGUUCAUUCCACUGCGUAUUAAGGUUCUAGAUGACAUCGACUGUUACUCUGAUAAUUAUUUAUUAAAAUGUAAGAUUUCCAUUCAAGUUCUGGUGAUUAAGAGUUGAUUUGAAA
Salvia hispanica is the source of this 574-nucleotide non-coding RNA. NCBI's taxonomy places the organism in Eukaryota, Viridiplantae, Streptophyta, Magnoliopsida, Lamiales, Lamiaceae. The record is from RefSeq and is a predicted model, not a curated record.